Molecule: long non-coding RNA, 3089 nt
Filed under: Gossypium barbadense (sea-island cotton)
Lineage: Eukaryota; Viridiplantae; Streptophyta; Magnoliopsida; Malvales; Malvaceae
Description: long non-coding RNA (GBAR_LNC007775)
Source: RNAcentral
ACUGAUAAAAAUAAUAAAUGCAUGUAGAGAAAAGAUAAACCUAAUCAACCCAAGUCAUUUCACCGACAGUUGAACUCCACAAUGCUUUUUGAAUCGUUAUUUCAAGGUUGUCCAUCCAUUAUGUCGAUAGCUCUGCCCAAAAAGAUACAUCCAUUGCUAUCCCUUAAACUUCACCCACUGUUUUCUAUCAUCUUCUAGUCUGGUCUCCUUCCCCAACGUUCUUCCGGAAACGAGUUUGGUAGAUUCGGGUCUUCUUGAACUAGGUAAGAGGUUACUUCGCUCGCUAAAGCUUCUUUUGCAAUCUUAUGGGCACACGAGUUUUCUGUUCUGGGAAUAUGUUGGAAUUUUAUUGUUUGAAAAUGAACACUCUUACUUUGAAUGUCCCGUAUGAUUGCUCCUAUUACUGAUUUAUCUGCUUCUGUUGAUUGACACUUUCUGAUUACUGUUCGCGAAUCCCCUUUGAUUUGUACUUCUUGAAAACCCAUUGAAAUCCCUAACUUAAUUGCUUCCAAUCUUGCGUAUGCUUCUGCCGCGAACGGAGAUGAAACAUUAUUGUGAAGGACCGCCUUGGAGGCCAGCAAUUCGUCCCUAAGCCCAAACCACCACUCUAGACACAGAUUUGAAAGUUCUUUUGUCAAACGCCGCGUCAAAGUGCACUUUAAUCUUUGGCAAGACUUACAUAUUUCUGUAUCUUCUAGCCUUAUCUGGGUUUUCCUGCUUUGCUAUCGUCCCCUUAUAACUUAGAAUUUUCUGUGCUAGUUGUCUUCCUGUUAUAGACACCUGCUCAUGUACAAACUGGUUUCUGGAAUACCAAGUUAGCCCUAAAGCAUAACAGAAAAGUCGACUCUGCUCCUCAGACUCUUUCAUGAAUACCCAGGUAAUCUAGUUCCAUAACUCAAAGAUUAAGUUAUUAUUGACCCAAGAGAGAUCUAAAAGAUGCCAAACUUCUAUACUUGUAGGACAGUGUCUGAAUAUGUGAGGGCAAUCCUCAUCCCUUGAGCUACAACGGAGGCAUUGGACGUUCGUGAGUACUUGUAAAUGCCUAAAUUUCAACGAUGUCGAAAAUAGUGGUUUUAGACCAUCAAAUCCGACAAAUGAACUCGUAAAUUAUAUUAUUUAAUAUUUACGAGCCAAAUGUAGUUUUUAAAAUAUUUUUAGAAUAGUAAAUUGUGUUUUAUAAAGAUUUAUUUGGUCAAGAAAUUAAGAAAAAGAGAUAUCGAGAUCUCGAUGUUAUAAACCGAGCUAUAAAUAUUUUUAUAAAUAUUUACGGAAUGUCAAUAAGGUAGUAUUAAAAUUUCGUUAGAAAAUUUUGACGUUUGGGUGGUCAAUUAAAUAAAAAGGAUUAAAUUGGAAAAUGUGUAAAAGUUGCUAAAAGGAUUAAUAGUUCAAUUGUCAAAUGAGGAAGGACUUAAAGUGAAAAUAAGCUCAAAGGAGAUAAUUUGGGCGGCAAUAGCUGAGAAAAAUCAGGAAAUGGGUGAAAUAAGGAUAAAAUUGGAAAAUUAUCAAAAAUAGCUAAAUAAAAAUGGGACUAAAUUGGAAUAUCUAGAAUUCUCUUUAUUUCUCUUCAUAUUCAUCAGAUGAAAAACAGCCAUGGAAGGGGGAAAACAGCAAUGGAAGGGGGUUCAAGCUGGUUUUCAUAUUUUAGCUUCAUGUAAGUUUAAUUCUUGCUUUCUCCUUGAAAUUUCUAUAUUUUUGAAAUUUUACAAUUGGGUCUAACUUACUAUUUCAUUAGUUUUUGAUUCCAUGACUAAUUUUUAAAAUUUUUAUGGAUGAGUGCUAAAAUAAUAUGAUGAAUAAUCAUAGAAUUGAAUCUUUACUUUUGGUAUAUAAUGAUUUUAUCAAGUACAAUUGAUGGAAAUUCAUUUUAGGACCUAAUUAAGAAAGAGUUUGGAAUUAAUGUCUAAUGCUAAAGUUCUGAUUUUUAGGGGUUAUGAAGAAGUUUAAAAUUAUAAAAUAAAGUAUUAAUUGAGAAAAAUUAUCUCAAUUGAGGGGUUAAUUGAGCAAGGACUGAAUUGUAUAAACUGUGAAAUUUGAGGCAAAAUGGAAAUUAAUAUUUUUCACUAAAACUGUUUUGGAUAGCAGCAGUAGUGUAACUUUGAAAAAUCACCAAAAAUUGUAUAAAUCUGAUUAGAAGAUUAUUAAAAUAUGAAAUUAAAGCUUAUUGAGUCUAGUUUCUUAUAAAAGAAAAGAUGUAAGCAAUGGAAUUGUGAAUCAUGAGAUAUAAUAAAUUUUAUGAGACAAGGUCAGAAUGAUUUUGGGUUCCCAUGUUUUGACUUUGGAAAAUCAUAAAAAAUUGGAUAAAAAUAAUUAGGGGCUUAAAUUUAUAUGUUUAGAAUCCUUAAUGAGCCUAUUUUCCAUAAAAACAAAUUACAAUAUCAUUUGAAUCUUGUACGAGGAUAUAAUCAAUUUUUAGUGAAGAAGAGUCAGAACUGUUAGACAGUAGAACAGGGGUAACAUUAAAGAAUAAACUGUACUUAUUAGCUAAACCAAAAAUUCUAAAAAUUUGAAGGUAAGAAGAUAUAUGAGUCUAGUUUCAGGGAAAAUUAUCAGAUCUUAAUUUGAAGUUAUAUAGCUCCAAAUAUAAAUAAUUUAGUGAUUAUGAUACAGAUGGACAGCUUGAAAAUUCAUAAAAGUAAAUAAUAAAGAUUAUAGAUAAUGUUACUUACAAGUGUGUUAUAUACAUUAAGGAUGUGGAAUGGAGAGGAGGAGGAGGAAAAUAUAUAUGAAUAUUUAGCUAGCAUGGCUAAUUUGCAUGUUUUAGGCUUAAAGACUGAAUUGAAUAAAAGUAAAACAUUAUGAGGUAAUUUUGUAAAAAUGUCAAAAAUGACCAAAUUGAAGGGAAUAAAUUUUUUUAUUAUCUAAAUUAAUAAAUUGAAUGAAAUUUUCAAUUUAAGAUCGGGUGAAAAUUGGGAAAAUAGUAAAUUACCAAAAUGCCUUUUAUCUUGAUAUUUCUACAAUUUCGCCAAGUAAGUUCGUGUAACUUGAAUUAUAUUCUUAAAUGCUUGAAAUGCAUGUUUUUGUUAUAUGAAUAUGAUUUGAAUGUUCAUUAUAUGGAAAUUUAUGAAACAUUGAUAUAUUUGAAAAAAAAG